UAGGUCAGUGUGAAGCCUACAGCUCCUC
RNAcentral lists this non-coding RNA (28 nucleotides) under Mus musculus (house mouse). Lineage: Eukaryota; Metazoa; Chordata; Mammalia; Rodentia; Muridae. The record is from RNAcentral.